AGAGUUUGAUCAUGGCUCAGAACGAACGCUGGCGGCAGGCCUAACACAUGCAAGUCGAACGUGAAGCCACCUUCGGGUGGUAGAAAGUGGCAGACGGGUGAGUAACGCGUGGGAACGUGCCUUUCGGUUCGGAAUAACCCAGGGAAACUUGGGCUAAUACCGGAUACGCCCUUCGGGGGAAAGAUUCAUCGCCGAAAGAUCGGCCCACGUCGGAUUAGCUAGUUGGUAGGGUAAUGGCCUACCAAGGCGACGAUCCGUAGCUGGUCUGAGAGGAUGACCAGCCACACUGGGACUGAGACACGGCCCAGACUCCUACGGGAGGCAGCAGUGGGGAAUAUUGGACAAUGGGCGAAAGCCUGAUCCAGCCAUGCCGCGUGGGUGAAGAAGGCCCUAGGGUUGUAAACCCCUUUCAGCGGGGAAGAUAAUGACGGUACCCGCAGAAGAAGCCCCGGCUAACUCCGUGCCAGCAGCCGCGGUAAUACGGAGGGGGCUAGCGUUGUUCGGAAUUACUGGGCGUAAAGCGCGCGUAGGCGGAUCUGCAAGUCGGGGGUGAAAUCCCGAGGCUCAACCUCGGAACUGCCUUCGAUACUGCGGGUCUCGAGUCCGGGAGAGGUGAGUGGAAUUCCUAGUGUAGAGGUGAAAUUCGUAGAUAUUAGGAAGAACACCAGUGGCGAAGGCGGCUCACUGGCCCGGUACUGACGCUGAGACACGAAAGCGUGGGUAGCAAACAGGAUUAGAUACCCUGGUAGUCC
RNAcentral lists this ribosomal RNA (752 nucleotides) under uncultured bacterium. RNAcentral's name for it is "bacterial SSU rRNA". It matches the Rfam family "Bacterial small subunit ribosomal RNA", at positions 8 to 796 of the family's 1533-position model. The record is from RNAcentral.